UGGGGAAUAUUGCACAAUGGGCGAAAGCCUGAUACAGCGACGCCGCGUGAGGGAUGACGGCCUUCGGGUUGUAAACCUCUUUCAGUAGGGACGAAGCGCAAGUGACGGUACCUGCAGAAGAAGCACCGGCUCACUACGUGCCAGCAGCCGCGGUAAUACGUAGGGUGCGAGCGUUGUCCGGAAUUACUGGGCGUAAAGAGCUCGUAGGCGGUUUGUCACGUCGUCUGUGAAAUCCUAGGGCUUAACCCUGUACGUGCAGGCGAAACGGGAUGACUUGAGUACUACAGGGGAGACUGGAAUUUCUGGUGUAGCGGUGGAAUGCACAGAGAUCAGGAAGAACACCGAUGGCGAAGGCAGGUCUCUGGGUAGUAACUGACGCUGAGGAGCGAAAGCAUGGGUAGCGAACAGG
RNAcentral lists this ribosomal RNA (409 nucleotides) under bacterium. RNAcentral describes it as "partial 16S ribosomal RNA". It matches the Rfam family "Bacterial small subunit ribosomal RNA", at positions 355 to 776 of the family's 1533-position model. The record is from RNAcentral.